AGUUAACCAAGAAAACAGGAAGCCUGACUUGGGCCAGGUGACUUAUAUUGAAAUAGAGAAGACACUCAGUGAAAUCAUAUAACAUAAUUGCACUUGUUUUGCUACCUUGAAGGAUAAGUUCCAAAGAACUGUCCUAUCUGGUUGGAUGGUCAGUGCUUGUCAGUCUGGGUAAGUUCUCUGUGAAGAUAUUAUUAUUUUACAAAUGAACCCAUAUUUACAUUCUUACUUUU
This 230-nucleotide long non-coding RNA is filed under the name Homo sapiens (human). RNAcentral describes it as "long non-coding RNA NONHSAT219350". Lineage: Eukaryota; Metazoa; Chordata; Mammalia; Primates; Hominidae. The record is from RNAcentral.